This 96-nucleotide non-coding RNA is filed under the name uncultured Phascolarctobacterium sp. RNAcentral's name for it is "NiCo riboswitch". It matches the Rfam family "NiCo (Nickel/Cobalt) riboswitch aptamer". Lineage: Bacteria; Bacillati; Bacillota; Negativicutes; Acidaminococcales; Acidaminococcaceae. The record is from RNAcentral.
ACAGUACAACCUGAUCAGGCGGUAAACCGUUUACGCGGUUUUUGCAGCCGGGCCCUCACGGGCAGCAGACAGUAAAUGCAACGUCUGCGGGACAGU